Molecule: long non-coding RNA, 395 nt
Filed under: Mustela putorius furo (domestic ferret)
Lineage: Eukaryota; Metazoa; Chordata; Mammalia; Carnivora; Mustelidae
Description: lncRNA (ENSMPUG00000031332.1)
Source: RNAcentral
AUUUUAAUUAACAUCCAAUAAGAAGCCAACACUUUCUUUUCAAGUAAGCUAGAAUUAGCAGCAGUCAGGCGAUCCUCAAAUCCAGCAUCCAUGAGGCCUCAGCGGAGUAACCUUAUUCAAAUUAUGCCAAAGUCGAUCAGCCUGGCACCAAGGAGGAAUUCAACCAAUAGGAGGUGAACAAGUUAAUGAUGAAUGGAAUAGAGGAAGAAGCACAGGUACACUUGCAAAGUCACCCAAGCCAUCAAGUUGCCAGCUAUUGGGAAUGAAAAACAAUGUCUUCCCCAUCAAUAGCUGCUAUGAAACACAAUUUUUGGUGUCUCUGCCUAGUGAUUCAUUUCAUAUCCUAACAUUUAUCUGAAUCUUCAUUAAGUUUAAUAAAGAAUGGCCAAUGUGCA